This 60-nucleotide transfer RNA is filed under the name Rhipicephalus sanguineus (brown dog tick). RNAcentral describes it as "tRNA-Gly". Lineage: Eukaryota; Metazoa; Arthropoda; Arachnida; Ixodida; Ixodidae. The record is from RNAcentral.
UUUAAUUAGUAUAAAAAGUACAUUUAAUUUCCAAUUAAAUGGUUUCUAAAGAAAUUAAAU